This is a long non-coding RNA of Cyclopterus lumpus (lumpfish), 575 nucleotides long. RefSeq lists it as uncharacterized. The record is from RefSeq and is a predicted model, not a curated record. The transcript is spliced from 2 exons. Lineage: Eukaryota; Metazoa; Chordata; Actinopteri; Perciformes; Cyclopteridae.
AUAUAUAUAUAUAUAUAUAUAUAUAUAUAUAUAUAUAUAUAUAUAUAUAUAUAUAUAUAUAUAGUGAUGUUUUAUGGUAUCGUUAUUGUUUUCUAACCAUUUGUUUGAAAAAUAAAUUACUUUAUUGAUGUAGAUGUAGUGAUACAAGUAUUUUGAUCUGAAUAUAUAGUAAAUUAUCUAUUUAAGUGAUUUCAGUUGGAGCUUAAUUUAAUUUAAUUUAAUAUAAUAUAAUAUAUAACAUAUAAUAUAAUAUAUAUAUAUAUAUAAUUAUUAUUUCCAAUUAAGCCCCAACUUAAAUAGAUAAUGUAGUUUAAAGCAAUUGUACUGGACCACAUUCUUUGAUAUUUCUUUAACUCUAUUUUGUGUUUAUUUACUGCCUUUGAGCUUCUGAGUGUUUUUCGAAGUGAACGUUAAGCUGCAGGUUGUUACUUUGAUCCAACGUCAUUUUUAGUUUUGUAUUUCUAUUAUUAUUUAUUCUUGUUGAGGUUCAGUCGACUAAUUGUGAAAAGUUAAUGAGCACUGAAGUUAAUACAUGAAUAACGUUGAAUAAAAAUAAAAAAUAUUUUUUUUAAUUA